Molecule: ribosomal RNA, 429 nt
Filed under: Bacteroidota bacterium
Lineage: Bacteria; Pseudomonadati; Bacteroidota
Description: Bacteroidetes bacterium partial 16S ribosomal RNA
Rfam family: Bacterial small subunit ribosomal RNA
Source: RNAcentral
UAGGGAAUCUUCGGCAAUGGGGGGAACCCUGACCGAGCAACGCCGCGUGAGUGAAGAAGGUUUUCGGAUCGUAAAGCUCUGUUGUUAAGGAAGAACGAGUGUGAGAAUGGAAAGUUCAUGCUGUGACGGUACUUAACCAGAAAGGGACGGCUAACUACGUGCCAGCAGCCGCUGUAAUACGUUGGUCCCGAGCGUUGUCCGGAUUUAUUGGGCGUAAAUCGAGCGCAGGCGGUUAGAAAAGUCUGAAGUGAAAGGCAGUGGCUCAACCAUUGUAUGCUUUGGAAACUGUUUAACUUGAGUGCAGAAGGGGAGAGUGGAAUUCCAUGUGUAGCGGUGAAAUGCGUAGAUAUAUGGAGGAACACCGGUGGCGAAAGCGGCUCUCUGGUCUGUAACUGACGCUGAGGCUCGAAAGCGUGGGGAGCGAACAGG